Molecule: ribosomal RNA, 416 nt
Filed under: uncultured Gammaproteobacteria bacterium
Lineage: Bacteria; Pseudomonadati; Pseudomonadota; Gammaproteobacteria
Description: bacterial SSU rRNA
Rfam family: Bacterial small subunit ribosomal RNA
Source: RNAcentral
GCUGGCGGCAGGCCUAACACAUGCAAGUCGAGCGCGAAAGCACUUCGGUGUGAGUAGAGCGGCGGACGGGUGAGUAACGCGUAGGAAUCUACCUGGUAGUGGGGGACAACUCGGGGAAACUCGAGCUAAUACCGCAUACGCCCUACGGGGGAAAGCGGGGGACCUUCGGGCCUCGCGCUAUCAGAUGAGCCUGCGUUGGAUUAGCUAGUUGGUGGGGUAAUGGCCUACCAAGGCGACGAUCCAUAGCUGGUCUGAGAGGAUGAUCAGCCACACCGGGACUGAGACACGGCCCGGACUCCUACGGGAGGCAGCAGUGGGGAAUAUUGCGCAAUGGGCGAAAGCCUGACGCAGCCAUGCCGCGUGUGUGAAGAAGGCCUUCGGGCUGUAAAGCACUUUCAAUUGGGAGGAAAGGUUCA